CGCUGCUCCGUGAGCUGUCGGGGCUGUGCGUGCGGCUGUGCGUGGGGCUGCGCCCACACCGGUACGUGGGCUCAGCGAGAGCACUUCAGGUUUGGAUCCUGAGUGCUUGACUCGCGUUUCCUUACAAUUUUGGAUCUGCUGCUUUUCUGCACGGUUCAUGGAGUUGGAAUAAGAUUGUCCUAUGGGGCAACGCACAGCAGAUUAGGAACGUGCUCACAUGAGGUGAUCCAAAAGUGCUCUUUUAUGAGCGUUUGUUCUCCUUCCAGCUCAGGAGCAGCGCUGGGCGAGACUCACCUCCCUGCACGGGGAUGAAGAACAUCAUAAUAUGUUUGAAGCAAAGAACUGCAGAUAGGGAGAUUUUCAAAAAGCCAUUUGUUUACCUGGGUGAGGCAUUCAGACCAAAAGCGAAGGGUUAUUCAGGAAAGAACUCAAGCAUGUGGCUACAGCACUGGAGCAGACCCAUUCAGCCUCAGCUCGCAGCAGCACAGCUAGGGGUGCAGUGGGGUUCAUCAGGCCAGCACCUCCUCCUGGAGCUGAGCACAAGCCUGCACUCCUGGAUCAUGCCAUCCUGGCCAUUUAUUUGCCUGAAACUUAAACCUAUGCACUUCUCCUGGUGGUUGCAAAGUUUGCCACGCUCUGUCAAGCCUGCAGCGAUUACUUAUGGGCCACAGAUGGAUGCCUCAGCUCACUGGAGAGAUGUGUCCUGUAAUGCAUGCUGCUUGUUCACAGCUGAUCCCGAAAGAAGCUGACAUAAGGGCAUCAAGGAGCAUAAUUUUCCAGAAAUGCACUCCCUGCAUUUCUGACUGAAAGGGUAUGUGCAGAGUGGUUCACUGUGGCAGAGACUGAAGUGUUUGAGAGGUUUGUACUCCAGCCUGCUAUUAACUAUUGGUAGCACUGACUGCAGGGCUGCAGGCAGUGCAUGCUUUUAGCUUGAAUUUUCACUUCUUCAUUCUGGAAGGAAGAAUGGGAGAAAUGUUCUGGGUGCAAAUUCCGUGUGUGUCUCACGCCAUCUGCUAAUAGCAUGUGUGAGCUGCUCUACUGCCAGAAACCAGGAACAAAGAUAACAUCACUGCAGAGAGAACUGCCCUGCUCCCAAGUGAGGCUCGUACUGCAGGAAGCUACCGCUGGUCCUGAGCACAUUCACCAGAGUCUUGAGAGUCUGCUGUGCCACAGCUGGAUGCUCAUCCAUCUGAGAACCAGGCUUUUCUCUGCCUUUCCACAGCCUGCAAUGCAGUCAGGAAGCAAAGGAUACUAAGGGAUGUUAGCAGCUGCCAAACUGCCAGAGUUACCACAAGGCCUGACGACACGCUGCUGCUGCACCAGGCAGGAUGGGACGGCGGGCUUGUCUGCACUGCUGGAAAGCAAGCAGCCAGGAACGGGCACGCACAAGCAACCUGCAGAGCUCGGUGACCACAUUUCUUUGGUGUCUGCUGCCCAGCUGGAAAAGAGGUGUGCCUCUCAGAGUGUGCAGCCCUGAGGACCACAGAGGGAGGUGGGAGCAGCACAGUGGAAGGCAGAUGGACCUUGACGAUGUUGGCAAUACGUCUCCAUGCAAAAAAACAAAGCUGCAGAUCGCAAGAUGAUGAACAAUGCUGGAUAUUCAUCAACCUUAUUUCAAACAUGGAGUAACUAUGAUGUAAUGAGAUUAAGAAAUCUGCUUGAUGCCAUUAAAUGAAUUAGCAGCCAUACAAAGAUUAGAAAACAUUUCCCUAUUCCUGGCUCUGCUCGUAAUCCACUGGACACGAACGCCCGAACCACUUCUUACUGCCAUUCGCAGUUUCAGCAAAGGGGUGCACUGAAGGAGGCAUUAAUUCACUCCUCAGGGCUUUUUAAGAGACUUUUAAGUGACCGAAAGAGGACUUCAGAUGCUUCAAAGAAGAGAGAACGAUGGCACUAUGGUGUCACUUCGGGGACUGAAAUUCAGUCUGCAAAAGCUCAUACAAAUUCAAAAGAAGGAGAAUCGUGUUUAUGCAGAGCUGAGGCUCUGUGCAUAUAGAAGUGUGGGUUUUGGUAGACGUUGUGAGCUUCAGGAGGCCGUUGAAGGGAAUAAAGCACAAAUAUACAGCCAUGAUAUUUUACGAUGUUUCCUUUCUUAGGCCUUUUUGGGGGUUAUCAAAUCUUUGGUGGAUAUUUGGCAUAUGGUUAAGUAAACUCAGGAGGAAAACCUAAAGGUAAGAAAUUGAAGCAACUGAUUAUGCAAAUUCUAAACUUUUCACAGUUAUCCACUGAGGACUGCUUAGGUCCUUUGUGUUACCAGAAGUCCUGCAGUCAGGACGUACACAGCCUCUUUAUGACUUCCACGUGAUAGUGCAGUUGUUCCAGAUGGAUAUCAAUUCAAUUAAGAGCAAAGAGUGAUUUGAGCUAUAUUCAGUGAAUUUGGAAGUACCGUUGACAUCAAAUUGCUUUGCCUCUGGUGGGUUUUUUUAAGCACCCACACAAGUCACUAUGUUUAAUUUUUAAAAAACCCUUAUAAAUACAACAUAUGAAGGAAAACACUGCUAGAUUAUUCUCUUCUUCUUGGUUUAGAACCUUUGACAGUAAGCUUACAAUUCUAACACAUCACUGACGUCCAUGCCUUCCAAGACAUUCUGGAACUUUCUCUUUGCAACACAGCAUGGAGGAGGCUGAGGAUAAGUGGUUGCAAGUUUACACAUUAUAAGAGAUGUGAUGUGAGCUUGUAAUUCAGGUUCUGUGUCAUCUGUGGGAAAAACCAUAGAAUGCUCAUCUCUACUCCUUGCACACACCCAGAU
Gallus gallus (chicken) is the source of this 2750-nucleotide long non-coding RNA. Lineage: Eukaryota; Metazoa; Chordata; Aves; Galliformes; Phasianidae. The record is from Ensembl.